GAUGAAGAACGUAGCGAAAUGCGAUACGUAAUGUGAAUUGCAAAUUCAGUGAAUCAUCUAGUCUUUGAACGCACAUUGUGCCCCCUGGUAUUCCGGGGGGCAUGCCUGUCCGAGCGUCAUUGCUGCCCUCAAGCACGGCUUGUGUGUUGGGCCCCGUCCUCCGAUCCCGGGGGACGGGCCCGAAAGGCAGCGGCGGCACCGCGUCCGGUCCUCGAGCGUAUGGGGCUUUGUCACCCGCUCUGUAGGCCCGGCCGGCGCUUGCCGAUCAACCCAAAUUUUUUAUCCAGGUUGACCUCGGAUCAGGUAGGGAUACCCGCUGAACUUAAGCAUAUCAAUAAGCGGAGGA
This 346-nucleotide unclassified non-coding RNA is filed under the name soil metagenome. RNAcentral's name for it is "partial contains 5.8S ribosomal RNA, internal transcribed spacer 2, and large subunit ribosomal RNA". The stretch from base 1 to 119 matches the Rfam family "5.8S ribosomal RNA", at positions 35 to 154 of the family's 154-position model. The record is from RNAcentral.